GGCGAGAUAGCUCAGCCGGCUAGAGCGAUGGUCUCAUAAUCCAUAGGUCGGGGGUUCGAGUCCCCCUCUCGCCACCA
Molecule: transfer RNA, 77 nt
Filed under: Myxococcaceae bacterium
Lineage: Bacteria; Pseudomonadati; Myxococcota; Myxococcia; Myxococcales; Myxococcaceae
Description: tRNA-Met
Rfam family: tRNA
About the family: Transfer RNA (tRNA) molecules are approximately 80 nucleotides in length. Their secondary structure includes four short double-helical elements and three loops (D, anti-codon, and T loops).
Source: RNAcentral